Molecule: small nucleolar RNA, 200 nt
Filed under: Solanum tuberosum (potato)
Lineage: Eukaryota; Viridiplantae; Streptophyta; Magnoliopsida; Solanales; Solanaceae
Description: snoRNA Plant_U3
Rfam family: Plant small nucleolar RNA U3
About the family: Small nucleolar RNAs (snoRNAs) are involved in the processing and modification of rRNA in the nucleolus.
Source: Rfam by way of RNAcentral
AUGACCUUACUUGAACAAGAUCUGUUCUAUAGGCUCGUACCAUUGUAUCCUUGAUUUCUAAGGAGACAGGAAACCAAGCUUGGUGGAUGAAAUUUGGCCAUGAGGCUAGAGCGUGACUAACAGCUUUGGUGUGACGCAGUAGAUGAUCGUUCUCAGGCCUCUAGUGGGUUUGGGGUGGUCUCUUAGCUUUCUGACAGACU